CUCCCCACUAGUAUGGCCCUGCUUUGACUGGCAUGAAAGGGUCAAGCCUUUGUUGUAGAUCAUUGCCACAAGUACUGCACGAAGCCUGAUUCCAAUUUGCUGCAACCUAAAGAACCAAUGCCUCUGUGUGAGGCACUCUACAAGUUUUCCAAACAAAAAGGCUGAAGCUAAAAGAUAUCCCUGAUUUUUGAACUUUCCUCGCCCAUUAAGACAUUGAACAAAUGCAUCUAUAAGGUAUGGGCCAACAUAAGAAGCUGAUGUGUAUAACACAGCUAGUAAAGCUGUCCACAGAAUUUCCUUCCAAGCAGAGAAGAACAAGGCCUUCACGAGUUUAAACGUGGUAACUCCGCUAGCAGCCCCACUAUCCAACUCAACUUUAUUUCUGAAAACCGGAAAUG
RNAcentral lists this unclassified non-coding RNA (398 nucleotides) under Hevea brasiliensis (rubber tree). Lineage: Eukaryota; Viridiplantae; Streptophyta; Magnoliopsida; Malpighiales; Euphorbiaceae. The record is from RNAcentral.